RNAcentral lists this ribosomal RNA (482 nucleotides) under Streptococcus mutans. Its description in RNAcentral is "bacterial SSU rRNA". It matches the Rfam family "Bacterial small subunit ribosomal RNA", at positions 368 to 838 of the family's 1533-position model. The record is from RNAcentral. Lineage: Bacteria; Bacillati; Bacillota; Bacilli; Lactobacillales; Streptococcaceae.
GCAAUGGACGAAAGUCUGACCGAGCAACGCCGCGUGAGUGAAGAAGGUUUUCGGAUCGUAAAGCUCUGUUGUAAGUCAAGAACGUGUGUGAGAGUGGAAAGUUCACACAGUGACGGUAGCUUACCAGAAAGGGACGGCUAACUACGUGCCAGCAGCCGCGGUAAUACGUAGGUCCCGAGACGUUGUCCGGAUUUAUUGGGCGUAAAGGGAGCGCAGGCGGUCAGGAAAGUCUGGAGUAAAAGGCUAUGGCUCAACCAUAGUGUGCUCUGGAAACUGUCUGACUUGAGUGCAGAAGGGGAGAGUGGAAUUCCAUGUGUAGCGGUGAAAUGCGUAGAUAUAUGGAGGAACACCAGUGGCGAAAGCGGCUCUCUGGUCUGUCACUGACGCUGAGGCUCGAAAGCGUGGGUAGCGAACAGGAUUAGAUACCCCUGGGUAGUCCACGCCGUAAACGAUGAGUGCUAGGUGUUAGGCCCUUUCCCGGG